GCUUGCUUGUUGGGGUUGUAGGACACUCUAUACGGAGUUACAAAGGACGACAUUAGACGAAUCAUCUGGAAAGAUGAAUCAAAGAAGGUAAUAAUCCUGUAGUCGAAAAUGUUGUCUCUCUUGAGUGGAUCCUGAGUACGACGGAGCACGUGAAAUUCCGUCGGAAUCUGGGAGGACCAUCUCCUAAGGCUAAAUACUCUCUAGUGACCGAUAGUGAACCAGUACCGUGAGGGAAAGGUGAAAAGCACCCCGGAAGGGGAGUGAAAUAGAACCUGAAACCGUGUGCUUACAAGUAGUCAGAGCCCGUUAAUGGGUGAUGGCGUGCCUUUUGUAGAAUGAACCGGCGAGUUACGAUUUGAUGCAAGGUUAAGCAGUAAAUGUGGAGCCGUAGCGAAAGCGAGUCUGAAUAGGGCGUUUAGUAUUUGGUCGUAGACCCGAAACCAGGUGAUCUACCCUUGGUCAGGUUGAAGUUCAGGUAACACUGAAUGGAGGACCGAACCGACUUACGUUGAAAAGUGAGCGGAUGAACUGAGGGUAGCGGAGAAAUUCCAAUCGAACCUGGAGAUAGCUGGUUCUCUCCGAAAUAGCUUUAGGGCUAGCCUCAAGUGAUGAUUAUUGGAGGUAGAGCACUGUUUGGACGAGGGGCCCCUCUCGGGUUACCGAAUUCAGACAAACUCCGAAUGCCAAUUAAUUUAACUUGGGAGUCAGAACAUGGGUGAUAAGGUCCGUGUUCGAAAGGGAAACAGCCCAGACCACCAGCUAAGGUCCCAAAAUAUAUGUUAAGUGGAAAAGGAUGUGGCGUUGCCCAGACAACUAGGAUGUUGGCUUAGAAGCAGCCAUCAUUUAAAGAGUGCGUAAUAGCUCACUAGUCGAGUGACACUGCGCCGAAAAUGUACCGGGGCUAAACAUAUUACCGAAGCUGUGGAUUGUCCUUUGGACAAUGGUAGGAGAGCGUUCUAAGGGCGUUGAAGCAUGAUCGUAAGGACAUGUGGAGCGCUUAGAAGUGAGAAUGCCGGUGUGAGUAGCGAAAGACGGGUGAGAAUCCCGUCCACCGAUUGACUAAGGUUUCCAGAGGAAGGCUCGUCCGCUCUGGGUUAGUCGGGUCCUAAGCUGAGGCCGACAGGCGUAGGCGAUGGAUAACAGGUUGAUAUUCCUGUACCACCUAUAAUCGUUUUAAUCGAUGGGGGGACGCAGUAGGAUAGGCGAAGCGUGCGAUUGGAUUGCACGUCUAAGCAGUAAGGCUGAGUAUUAGGCAAAUCCGGUACUCGUUAAGGCUGAGCUGUGAUGGGGAGAAGACAUUGUGUCUUCGAGUCGUUGAUUUCACACUGCCGAGAAAAGCCUCUAGAUAGAAAAUAGGUGCCCGUACCGCAAACCGACACAGGUAGUCAAGAUGAGAAUUCUAAGGUGAGCGAGCGAACUCUCGUUAAGGAACUCGGCAAAAUGACCCCGUAACUUCGGGAGAAGGGGUGCUCUUUAGGGUUAACGCCCAGAAGAGCCGCAGUGAAUAGGCCCAAGCGACUGUUUAUCAAAAACACAGGUCUCUGCUAAACCGUAAGGUGAUGUAUAGGGGCUGACGCCUGCCCGGUGCUGGAAGGUUAAGAGGAGUGGUUAGCUUCUGCGAAGCUACGAAUCGAAGCCCCAGUAAACGGCGGCCGUAACUAUAACGGUCCUAAGGUAGCGAAAUUCCUUGUCGGGUAAGUUCCGACCCGCACGAAAGGCGUAACGAUUUGGGCACUGUCUCAACGAGAGACUCGGUGAAAUCAUAGUACCUGUGAAGAUGCAGGUUACCCGCGACAGGACGGAAAGACCCCGUGGAGCUUUACUGUAGCCUGAUAUUGAAAUUCGGCACAGCUUGUACAGGAUAGGUAGGAGCCUUUGAAACGU
RNAcentral lists this ribosomal RNA (1884 nucleotides) under Staphylococcus aureus. RNAcentral describes it as "partial 23S ribosomal RNA". It matches the Rfam family "Bacterial large subunit ribosomal RNA", at positions 283 to 2165 of the family's 2925-position model. Lineage: Bacteria; Bacillati; Bacillota; Bacilli; Caryophanales; Staphylococcaceae. The record is from RNAcentral.